This 254-nucleotide ribosomal RNA is filed under the name uncultured bacterium. Its description in RNAcentral is "partial 16S ribosomal RNA". It matches the Rfam family "Bacterial small subunit ribosomal RNA", at positions 524 to 776 of the family's 1533-position model. The record is from RNAcentral.
CACGUAGGGUGCGAGCGUUGUCCGGAAUUAUUGGGCGUAAAGAGCUCGUAGGCGGUGUGUCGCGUCGGCCGUGAAAACCUGCAGCUUAACUGUGGGCUUGCGGUCGAUACGGGCAUCACUGGAGUUCGGCAGGGGAGACUGGAAUUCCAGGUGUAGCGGUGAAAUGCGUAGAUAUCUGGAGGAAUACCGGUGGCGAAGGCGGCAUCCUGGACCGAUAUUGACACUGAUGAGCGAAAGCUAGGGGAGCAAACGGG